GAAACCCAAGGCGCUAAGUGGGGACUGUUACCAAUGUACACCAGAGAAUGUUUAUUCAGAACGGCAGGGCCAGGUUGUUCUCCAUGCUGGAUAUAAACAAAAAAUCAUUAUCUCCCAAUUAACAUGAAAUUAAAAAAAAAUAACAGGGCUUCUCAACAUUGAGUCCUAGGACCUCUGGCAUCAUCUUCACCUGGGGAGUAGUUCAAGACAGAAAUCCAGAGCUACGAGUCACACAUCCAUCCAGAUGAUUGCAGUGUGCGCUACAAGUAGAAAAGGUUUUAUAGCAGCUCUGCCUUCUGCAUCCUCUUUCGUGACAGCAUCAUCAUGCAGUCAUUCAAUAAAACUAAUUGAAGACUCAACUCCGGCUUCAGAACCAUAACAACGGCCUGCUCUCUCUUCACUGCUGAUGAUCUAAUCAUUAAAAUGAAACCUAC
Molecule: long non-coding RNA, 434 nt
Filed under: Fukomys damarensis (Damara mole-rat)
Lineage: Eukaryota; Metazoa; Chordata; Mammalia; Rodentia; Bathyergidae
Description: lncRNA (ENSFDAG00000021858.1)
Source: RNAcentral